AAUGCAAGUCGAGCGGACAGAUGGGAGCUUGCUCCCUGAUGUUAGCGGCGGACGGGUGAGUAACACGUGGGUAACCUGCCUGUAAGACUGGGAUAACUCCGGGAAACCGGGGCUAAUACCGGAUGGUUGUUUGAACCGCAUGGUUCAAACAUAAAAGGUGGCUUCGGCUACCACUUACAGAUGGACCCGCGGCGCAUUAGCUAGUUGGUGAGGUAACGGCUCACCAAGGCAACGAUGCGUACCCGACCUGAGAGGGUGAUCGGCCACACUGGGACUGAGACACGGCCCAGACUCCUACGGGAGGCAGCAGUAGGGAAUCUUCCGCAAUGGACGAAAGUCUGACGGAGCAACGCCGCGUGAGUGAUGAAGGUUUUCGGAUCGUAAAGCUCUGUUGUUAGGGAAGAACAAGUACCGUUCGAAUAGGGCGGUACCUUGACGGUACCUAACCAGAAAGCCACGGCUAACUACGUGCCAGCAGCCGCGGUAAUACGUAGGUGGCAAGCGUUGUCCGGAAUUAUUGGGCGUAAAGGGCUCGCAGGCGGUUUCUUAAGUCUGAUGUGAAAGCCCCCGGCUCAACCGGGGAGGGUCAUUGGAAACUGGGGAACUUGAGUGCAGAAGAGGAGAGUGAAUUCCACGUGUAGCGGUGAAAUGCGUAGAGAUGUGGAGGAACACCAGUGGCGAAGGCGACUCUCUGGUCUGUAACUGACGCUGAGGAGCGAAAGCGUGGGGAGCGAACAGGAUUAAUACCCUGUA
RNAcentral lists this ribosomal RNA (753 nucleotides) under Bacillus pumilus. RNAcentral describes it as "bacterial SSU rRNA". It matches the Rfam family "Bacterial small subunit ribosomal RNA", at positions 54 to 791 of the family's 1533-position model. The record is from RNAcentral. Lineage: Bacteria; Bacillati; Bacillota; Bacilli; Caryophanales; Bacillaceae.